AAAACUUCAGUUGUACAUUUGUUCAUGACAUUCAUCAAAGCUCAGAAUCAUGUGUUUCUUUCAGUAGGAGGAGUUCUUUAAUUAAUUAUUUAUUUUUGAUAUUAUUAUUUUCUCUUAUAAGAAUUUUUGUGUCCUUCAGUCUUUUUGUUAAACAUCUGUACUGCCUAUUUUAUAUAGAUAACUUGCAUUACACCUCACUCAAG
RNAcentral lists this unclassified non-coding RNA (203 nucleotides) under Hevea brasiliensis (rubber tree). Lineage: Eukaryota; Viridiplantae; Streptophyta; Magnoliopsida; Malpighiales; Euphorbiaceae. The record is from RNAcentral.